CAGUAGCCACGGUAAUACGUAGGUGGCGAGCGUUGUCCGGAAUUAUUGGGCGUAAAGGGAGCGCAGGCGGUUUAGUAAGUCUGAAGUUAAAGGCAUUGGCUCAACCAAUGUAUGCCUUGGAAACUGUUAGACUUGAGUGCAGAAGGGGAGAGUGGAAUUCCAUGUGUAGCGGUGAAAUGCGUAGAUAUAUGGAGGAACACCGGUGGCGAAAGCGGCUCUCUGGUCUGUCACUGACGCUGAGGCUCGAAAGCGUGGGUAGCGAACAGGACUAGAUACCCGCGUAGUCCCUGUCUCUUAUACA
Molecule: ribosomal RNA, 301 nt
Filed under: uncultured bacterium
Lineage: Bacteria
Description: partial 16S ribosomal RNA
Rfam family: Bacterial small subunit ribosomal RNA
Source: RNAcentral